AGCGAACGCUGGCGGCAUGCCUAACACAUGCAAGUCUGACGGGCUGGCUUUCGGGCUGGUCAGUGGCGGACGGGUGAGGAACGCGUAGGAACGUAUCUUGGGGUGGGGGAUAACCGCGGGAAACUGCGGCUAAUACCGCAUGGGGCCUGAGGGCCAAAGCUGAGAAGCGCCUUGGGAGCGGCCUGCGUCCGAUUAGCUAGUUGGUGGGGUGAUGGCUUACCAAGGCGACGAUCGGUAGCUGGUCUGAGAGGAUGAUCAGCCACACUGGGACUGAGACACGGCCCAGACUCCUACGGGAGGCAGCAGUGGGGAGUAUUGGACAAUGGGGGCAACCCUGAUCCAGCAAUGCCGCGUGGGUGAAGAAGGUCUUCGGAUUGUAAAGCCCUUUCGGCGGGGACGAUGAUGACGGUACCCGCAGAAGAAGCCCCGGCUAACUUCGUGCCAGCCGCCGCCGUAAGAC
This 460-nucleotide ribosomal RNA is filed under the name uncultured bacterium. Its description in RNAcentral is "bacterial SSU rRNA". It matches the Rfam family "Bacterial small subunit ribosomal RNA", at positions 28 to 526 of the family's 1533-position model. The record is from RNAcentral.